GUUUCACAAAAAGCUUGAAAUCAAACGAUGUGGGACAUUGCUUCUGUAAGCAGCUUCUGAAUUUGCUUUGCCUUGGCCUAUAGUGACGUCACAAGCUCACAUCAUAAGGAAAACGUGUUGCGCAUCUCUAGUUUGAUAUGAGCUUUAGUAUCUCCCCACUACAGUGCGAGAAAAGUCAGGGCAAAGGAUUGAAAAGAAGUUCACAACAAAAAAGUUUGAACACAAGCAAACCUGAAACAGAUGCAGGGUAGUAGAUCUUAAGGGUGCGUUGCUCACUCCAGGGCCUGCUGCCACCCAGAUGGCUGGCAAACACCAGGACUCCGAACACAACAGGAUUCAGGGAUUCAGACAGGAGUCUUGCUCUACCAAUUAUUAUAGGAUCUUAGAUGCCUUUCCAGUAAAGCUAACAAAAAACAAAACAAAAUAAAACCAUAUCCAAAAUACUAAACAGCUGUCUCCAAGAUCAGAAGGCAUCAGAAAAGACCCUCAAGAGUUGUCUAAUCCCAGAGGAAGAUCUUAAGUGGGGAUGUGCUCACAGCAGAAACCUUGGAAAUUUCAGGGAGUGAAAUUUUAUUGUCAGAACUUUCAAUAAAAGUGUAGCCACAGAUCCUGGGAGCAUUAAAUAAAAAUUACCAACAAGCUGUCUUACCUGUGUGCACUCCACUGAAAGGAAGGGCAAACAUGAGCAAGGAGCUCUUGUACAUCAGUCAAAAUUCUGACAGCUACCCUGUGAAGUUUGACGGGCUGCCAUGUGCUAGACUACCUAAGAUACUCUUAACUGAACCAUAAAAAGACAAAUAAAUUAGUAAUUGUA
Molecule: long non-coding RNA, 814 nt
Filed under: Homo sapiens (human)
Lineage: Eukaryota; Metazoa; Chordata; Mammalia; Primates; Hominidae
Description: HSALNT0380582
Source: RNAcentral